GACGUAGGUGGCGAACGUUAUCCGGAAUUACUGGGCGUAAAGCGCGCGUAGGCGGACCUGCAAGUCGGGGGUGAAAGCCCGAGGCUCAACCUCGGAACUGCCUUCGAUACUGCGGGUCUCGAGUCCGGGAGAGGUGAGUGGAAUUCCUAGUGUAGAGGUGAAAUUCGUAGAUAUUAGGAAGAACACCAGUGGCGAAGGCGGCUCACUGGCCCGGUACUGACGCUGAGGCGCGAAAGCGUGGGGAGCAAACAGG
This 253-nucleotide ribosomal RNA is filed under the name uncultured bacterium. Its description in RNAcentral is "partial 16S ribosomal RNA". It matches the Rfam family "Bacterial small subunit ribosomal RNA", at positions 524 to 776 of the family's 1533-position model. The record is from RNAcentral.